This 496-nucleotide ribosomal RNA is filed under the name uncultured bacterium. Its description in RNAcentral is "partial 16S ribosomal RNA". It matches the Rfam family "Bacterial small subunit ribosomal RNA", at positions 29 to 507 of the family's 1533-position model. The record is from RNAcentral.
ACGAACGCUGGCGGCGUGCCUAAUACAUGCAAGUUGAGCGCUGAAGGUUGGUACUUGUACCAACUGGAUGAGCAGCGAACGGGUGAGUAACGCGUGGGGAAUCUGCCUUUGAGCGGGGGACAACAUUUGGAAACGAAUGCUAAUACCGCAUAAAAACUUUAAACACAAGUUUUGAGUUUGAAAGAUGCAAUUGCAUCACUCAAAGAUGAUCCCGCGUUGUAUUAGCUAGUUGGUGAGGUAAAGGCUCACCAAGGCGAUGAUACAUAGCCGACCUGAGAGGGUGAUCGGCCACAUUGGGACUGAGACACGGCCCAAACUCCUACGGGAGGCAGCAGUAGGGAAUCUUCGGCAAUGGACGAAAGUCUGACCGAGCAACGCCGCGUGAGUGAAGAAGGUUUUCGGAUCGUAAAACUCUGUUGGUAGAGAAGAACGUUGGUGAGAGUGGAAAGCUCAUCAAGUGACGGUAACUACCCAGAAAGGGACGGCUAACUACGUG